UCUGCAGGAUUUACGCGCACGUUGGAACCGAAGAGAGCUCUGUUGUUGCAAUGUUCAGCCCACAAGAGCUUACUGGUGAAGGAAUGGGACAAGACCCAUCUUUAUGCAAAGCCAGCGUUACAGUAAUGUUCCAGGUAGGUGUACAUGGUUUAUGCUCUUACAGAGGAGACCUUGUAGAUAACCACUCCAUGAUGAACACAAAAUGACAAGCAUAUGGCUGAACUUUCAAGUGAUGUCAUCUUACUACUGAGAAGUGAGAGAGAGGUCUUAAGGGGUCUUUGAAUGACUAUUUUUAGGUACAUAAAAUGCUUUCCUCUGUUGUCUACAGCAUCUCAUAAUCUAUCCUGGGGAAUUCAGCUGCCUCCCAGGGUGAAUACAGGUAUUCCUGAUGACAGUCUGCCUCUAUCUUACAGUAAGUUGUUUUUCGAAUUCUAUGGGCCUAUUAUCUAAUAGAUAACUUAGCCAUUUUGAUAUUUGUUACCAAAGCCUGCUUAACCCAUAAAGUUUUCUGGUUCCUCUUGUUCUCUGUAGUGAUGUUUCUAGAUAGAUGCCCACUGAUAUAU
This 563-nucleotide long non-coding RNA is filed under the name Homo sapiens (human). RNAcentral's name for it is "non-protein coding SNHG1:60". The stretch from base 184 to 255 matches the Rfam family "Small nucleolar RNA SNORD27". The record is from RNAcentral. Lineage: Eukaryota; Metazoa; Chordata; Mammalia; Primates; Hominidae.